GAUCAGCAGUAGCAGUGAGUCAGCAUUUUCCCUGGCCUGGCCUUGUCCACAUGGAACAGAGAGCAGAUGCUGGAUGCAAAUCAUGACUACUACACCUGCCUUUUGCAUUGAGAAUGAGCCCACUAACAUCCUCCUACACAUGGAUCCCAUCCUCUGACAGACUAGUGGGACCUAACAAUGCUGCCAGCAAAACCAAGCUGUAUUGUCUUAAAGGGAGGUGAUGUGCUAGAAGUGAGUUGCGGAGUGAAGAUGAUUCAGGGACCGAGAAAAGAAGAGAUGCUUUGGCUUUCACUGCAGCCCCUCUUCCACUGAGACCCCUCUACUCCAAACAUCUGUUUGCCAUCACUGUGCCCAUCACUGGAGCCGGCUCCUGCUUUAGCCCCUGCUCCCCUCUGUCACUCUACUUCCCUAGAUCACCAAUUUGUCUGAUUGUUUGCAAUUAACUGUUGAUUAUGGUGCACAAAAGUCCAAGGAGGAUAAUUAAAAACCACUCAGCCAGCAGCAGUGGAAAGACUCUGCUGCUGCAGAAGAGAGAGCAGUGCACAACAAGCACAUCCCUGCUUUGGGUGGCACAACGUGGGCUGGUGAGAACCAGCGAGCCUGGUGUGCAAAGGCUGGUGAAGACAGUGGCAAAAUAGAGCCCCCAUAACCUUGGAACAGCAGUUCAGGUCCAGCUCUCCAGAGGCAUCUAAUUUUUCACCACAUCAUCACACGAGGCAGGUUCAUGUUUCCUUUAUAGCUCUUAUUGUAGUCAUCAGUACUCCUGUAAAUAGACUUGAAACAACAUCCAUAGGCUGGUGACUUUUAGGGAAAGGGGACUGCUAACUCCUUGAUUGCUAGCACCACAAAAAAUUAAUUUUACAUCACCAUUUUCCCUUCUAAUGCCACAAGAAGGGAACCACCUGCAGGUUCAGGUGGUUAAAAAAGAGUCCAAAGGCAAGUACGCCUAUAUCAUUGAUUAUUAAGCAGGGGAAAGAGGAGGCAGUAUAUAAUCCACUAAAUAAGUUCUGAAAGAUGCAUGAUUAGUACAAUUAACAGUAUCUCAUUCCUUUCAAUAUGAAACCAUCACAGGGGGAAAAAACCCUUAACAAACACUAUUAUGUUUAUAACUGGG
Molecule: long non-coding RNA, 1114 nt
Filed under: Taeniopygia guttata (zebra finch)
Lineage: Eukaryota; Metazoa; Chordata; Aves; Passeriformes; Estrildidae
Description: lncRNA (ENSTGUG00000028064.1)
Source: RNAcentral